GACUUAGCGGCGGACGGGUGAGUAACGCGUGGGUAACCUGCCUUACACUGGGGGAUAACAGUUAGAAAUGACUGCUAAUACCGCAUAAGCGCACAGGGCCGCAUGGUCUGGUGUGAAAAACUCCGGUGGUGUAAGAUGGACCCGCGUCUGAUUAGGUAGUUGGUGGGGUAACGGCCCACCAAGCCGACGAUCAGUAGCCGACCUGAGAGGGUGACCGGCCACAUUGGGACUGAGACACGGCCCAAACUCCUACGGGAGGCAGCAUG
RNAcentral lists this ribosomal RNA (266 nucleotides) under uncultured bacterium. Its description in RNAcentral is "partial 16S ribosomal RNA". It matches the Rfam family "Bacterial small subunit ribosomal RNA", at positions 89 to 353 of the family's 1533-position model. The record is from RNAcentral.